AAAUGAAACCUGGUAACUGACUUUGGGGUCAAAGGCCGGUUACAGCCUAUCAGAACUAAAGGAUGGGUAUUUAGGCCCAGUUCUCAGCCUAUAUCACAAAUGCAACAAAUGGCACAGUAGGUGUCUGUAAUAGCUCAAACACCCGUGUGGUAUCCCCUAUACCAACACAAAAAAGUACAUACAGUACAAACACAAUGGAUGGAGCAAUAUUAGUUCUCUACUCUUCUCCAAUAUAUUGCUGUGGAGAUAGAGAGAUAUACAAAAUAGUGUAGAUCGUUUACAAUAUAUAUUAAAGUGCAAUAGGUGCAAGCAAACACUCACAAAAUCAGAGCCAAGGGACCUGGCUCUGGUAUAGAUGGCUUCUGGAUCUAUUGUGGGGUGAUCCUUAACCCUUCUGUAGCUGGUAUGGUCUCCAAUAAGUAGAAGUGGAUCCAGAGGAUGGGGUAACAAAGAAC
Molecule: non-coding RNA, 455 nt
Organism: Pelobates cultripes (western spadefoot toad)
Lineage: Eukaryota; Metazoa; Chordata; Amphibia; Anura; Pelobatidae
Source: the annotation of a GenBank genome assembly